RNAcentral lists this ribosomal RNA (322 nucleotides) under uncultured eukaryote. RNAcentral describes it as "partial 18S ribosomal RNA". It matches the Rfam family "Eukaryotic small subunit ribosomal RNA", at positions 1470 to 1796 of the family's 1831-position model. The record is from RNAcentral.
CCCUUAGAUGUUCUGGGCCGCACGCGUGCUACACUGAGUGGAUCAGCGGGUCAGGUUGCGCGAAAGUGUUUCCUAAUCUUGAAAUCCGCUCGUGAUGGGGAUUGACGGUUGCAAUUUUCCGUCAUGAACGAGGAAUACCUUGUAAGCGCGGGUCAUCAUCCCGCGCUGAAUACGUCCCUGCCCUUUGUACACACCGCCCGUCGCUCCUACCGAUUGAGUGGUCCGGUGAGGCUUUCGGAUCUGAGCGGAAAGAGCGUUUCGCUGUUUCUGCUCGGAAAACUCAGUCGAACCUUAUCAUUUAGAGGAAGGAGAAGUCGUAACA